UCACACCGGUUUAAACUCAGAUCAUGUAAAAUUUUAAAGGUCGAACAGACCUAAUUUAUUAGCUCCUACACCAACAAUUAAUUUUAAUCCAACAUCGAGGUCGCAAUCUAUUUAUUCGAUAAGAACUCUGAAAAUAAUUACGCUGUUAUCCCUAAGGUAAUUUACUCUUUUAAUCUUCAACAAAGGAUCAUAAAACUACUUAUUAGUAUAAAAAUAAAAAAAAGUUUCUCCAGUUUUCUCAUCACCCCAACAAAAUAAGUAAAAUAUACUUUAAAACAAAAAUCCCUCAAACCAAAAUACACUUCACCUAUAAAACUCUAUAGGGUCUUCUCGUCUUCUACAAAAAUUUAAGCUUUUUUACUUAAAAAUAAAAUUUUAACUAAUUUUUUAAGAGACAGCUCCUUUCUCAUCAAACCUUUCAUACAAGCUUCCAAUUAAGAAACUAAUUACUAUGCUACCUUUGCACGGUCAAUAUACCGCGGCCAUUCAAUUAUCAGCGGGCAGGUCAGACUUGAAAUCAUAAUC
RNAcentral lists this ribosomal RNA (525 nucleotides) under Trigonopterus sampuragensis. RNAcentral's name for it is "partial 16S ribosomal RNA". Lineage: Eukaryota; Metazoa; Arthropoda; Insecta; Coleoptera; Curculionidae. The record is from RNAcentral.